Molecule: ribosomal RNA, 401 nt
Filed under: uncultured bacterium
Lineage: Bacteria
Description: bacterial SSU rRNA
Rfam family: Bacterial small subunit ribosomal RNA
Source: RNAcentral
GAAUAUUGGACAAUGGGCGCAAGCCUGAUCCAGCCAUGCCGCGUGAGUGAUGAAGGCCUUAGGGUUGUAAAGCUCUUUUAGCGGGGACGAUAAUGACGGUACCCGCAGAAAAAGCCCCGGCCAACUUCGUGCCAGCAGCCGCGGUAAUACGAAGGGGGCUAGCGUUGCUCGGAAUCACUGGGCGUAAAGCGCACGUAGGUGGGUCGUUAAGUCGGGGGUGAAAUCCCAGGGCUCAACCCUGGAACUGCCUUCGAUACUGGCGAUCUUCGAGUCCGGGAGAGGUGAGUGGAACUGCGAGUGUAGAGGUGAAAUUCGUAGAUAUUCGCAAGAACACCAGUGGCGAAGGCGGCUCACUGGCCCGGUACUGACACUGAGGUGCGAAAGCGUGGGGAGCAAACAGG